UACCCAAUCAAAUCCUAAACUCUUAAAGUG
RNAcentral lists this non-coding RNA (30 nucleotides) under Mus musculus (house mouse). Lineage: Eukaryota; Metazoa; Chordata; Mammalia; Rodentia; Muridae. The record is from RNAcentral.